This 916-nucleotide ribosomal RNA is filed under the name uncultured bacterium. Its description in RNAcentral is "bacterial SSU rRNA". It matches the Rfam family "Bacterial small subunit ribosomal RNA", at positions 10 to 916 of the family's 1533-position model. The record is from RNAcentral.
AGUUUGAUCCUGGCUCAGGAUGAACGCUAGCUACAGGCUUAACACAUGCAAGUCGAGGGGAAACGAUAGAGAAAGCUUGCUUUUUCUAGGCGUCGACCGGCGCACGGGUGAGUAACGCGUAUCCAACCUGCCCAUCACUUGGGGAUAACCUUGCGAAAGUAAGACUAAUACCCAAUGACGUCCAUAGAAGACAUCUGAAAUGGAUUAAAGAUUUAUCGGUGAUGGAUGGGGAUGCGUCUGAUUAGCUUGUUGGCGGGGUAACGGCCCACCAAGGCGACGAUCAGUAGGGGUUCUGAGAGGAAGGUCCCCCACAUUGGAACUGAGACACGGUCCAAACUCCUACGGGAGGCAGCAGUGAGGAAUAUUGGUCAAUGGACGAGAGUCUGAACCAGCCAAGUAGCGUGCAGGAUGACGGCCCUAUGGGUUGUAAACUGCUUUUAUAAGGGAAUAAAGUGAGAGUCGUGACUCUUUUUGCAUGUACCUUAUGAAUAAGGACCGGCUAAUUCCGUGCCAGCAGCCGCGGUAAUACGGAAGGUCCGGGCGUUAUCCGGAUUUAUUGGGUUUAAAGGGAGCGUAGGCCGGAGAUUAAGCGUGUUGUGAAAUGUAGACGCUCAACGUCUGCACUGCAGCGCGAACUGGUUUCCUUGAGUACGCACAAAGUGGGCGGAAUUCGUGGUGUAGCGGUGAAAUGCUUAGAUAUCACGAAGAACUCCGAUUGCGAAGGCAGCUCACUGGAGCGCAACUGACGCUGAAGCUCGAAAGUGCGGGUAUCGAACAGGAUUAGAUACCCUGGUAGUCCGCACGGUAAACGAUGGAUGCCCGCUGUUGGUCUGAAUAGGUCAGCGGCCAAGCGAAAGCAUUAAGCAUCCCACCUGGGGAGUACGCCGGCAACGGUGAAACUCAAAGGAAUUGACGG